UACGGGGGGGGCAAGCGUUGUUCGGAAUUACUGGGCGUAAAGGGCUCGUAGGCGGUCAACUAAGUCGGACGUGAAAUCCCUCGGCUUAACCGGGGAACUGCGUCCGAUACUGGAUGACUUGAGUUCGGGAGAGGGAUGCGGAAUUCCAGGUGUAGCGGUGAAAUGCGUAGAUAUCUGGAGGAACACCGGUGGCGAAGGCGGCAUCCUGGACCGACACUGACGCUGAGGAGCGAAAGCGUGGGGAGCAAACGGG
Molecule: ribosomal RNA, 253 nt
Filed under: uncultured bacterium
Lineage: Bacteria
Description: partial 16S ribosomal RNA
Rfam family: Bacterial small subunit ribosomal RNA
Source: RNAcentral